AGUCGAACGAGUUCAGGGAGCAAUCCCUGAGCUAGUGGCGAACGGUCGAGUAACACGUAAGCAACCUGCCCGGGAGCGGGGGACAAGCCGUCGAAAGACGGGGUAAUACCGCAUACCUUUAUCAAAGUCAUCUUUGAUAAAGAAAGAUUUAUCACUCCCGGAGGGGCUUGCGGCCUAUCAGCUAGUUGGCGGGGUAACGGCUUACCAAGGCGACGACGGGUAGCUGGUCUGAGAGGACGGCCAGCCGCUGGGACUGAGAUACGGCCUAGACUCCUACGGGGGGCUAGCUUCUAGGAAUCUUGCGCUAAUGGGGAAAGCUCUGACGCACGAUGCCGCGUGGGUGAUGAAGUCUUUCGGUAGUGUAAACUAUCGUAAGAAUGGGAAGAAUAAAUGAC
RNAcentral lists this ribosomal RNA (395 nucleotides) under uncultured bacterium. Its description in RNAcentral is "bacterial SSU rRNA". It matches the Rfam family "Bacterial small subunit ribosomal RNA", at positions 60 to 457 of the family's 1533-position model. The record is from RNAcentral.